UUGAACGCUGGCGGCAGGCCUAACACAUGCAAGUCGAGCGGAUGAAGGGAGCUUGCUCCUGGAUUCAGCGGCGGACGGGUGAGUAAUGCCUAGGAAUCUGCCUGGUAGUGGGGGAUAACGUCCGGAAACGGGCGCUAAUACCGCAUACGUCCUGAGGGAGAAAGUGGGGGAUCUUCGGACCUCACGCUAUCAGAUGAGCCUAGGUCGGAUUAGCUAGUUGGUGGGGUAAAGGCCUACCAAGGCGACGAUCCGUAACUGGUCUGAGAGGAUGAUCAGUCACACUGAUAGUGAGACACGGCACAGAGAGGAAGUGGAGGCAGAAGGGAACAAUAGGGGAGAAGGGACAGCAGCCUCAUACAGCGAUGGAGAGUGUGUGAAGAAGUGCUACGGAUUGAAAAGCACAUGAAGUGGGGAGGAAGGACAUCAACUUAAUCCUUGGCUGUUUAGACGUGAACAAAAGAAAAAGCACCCGCUAACUUCGGGGCAGCAGCGGCGAUAAUAGCACGAAGACACACGUCUGAAC
Molecule: ribosomal RNA, 523 nt
Filed under: uncultured bacterium
Lineage: Bacteria
Description: partial 16S ribosomal RNA
Rfam family: Bacterial small subunit ribosomal RNA
Source: RNAcentral